AGCAGCCGCGGUAAUUCCAGCUCCAAUAGCGUAUAUUAAAGUUGUUGCAGUUAAAAAGCUCGUAGUUGAAUUUUGGAUUCUUCCAAUUGGUCCAUCUUUUAGAUGAGUACUGGUUGUGUGGGGUCUAUCCGCCUGGUGAUACGUAAUGUCCUUUAUUGGAUGUUUCGGGUAGUCAGGACCUUUACCUUGAAAAAAUUAGAGUGUUUAAAGCAGGCUUAUGCCGGAAUACAUUAGCAUGGAAUAAUAGAAUAGGACGAAGUUGUUUUAUUUUGUUGGUUUCUAGGACAACCGUAAUGAUUAAUAGGGAUAGUUGGGGGCAUUAGUAUUCAAUUGUCAGAGGUGAAAUUCUUGGAUUUAUUGAAGACUAACUACUGCGAAAGCAUUUGCCAAGGAUGUUUUCAUUAAUCAAGAACGAAAGUUAGGGGAUCGAAGACGAUCAGAUACCGUCGUAGUCUUAACCAUAAACUAUGCCGACUAGGGAUCGGGCGAUGUUGUUCCCAUGACUCGCUCGGCACCUUAU
This 520-nucleotide unclassified non-coding RNA is filed under the name uncultured Archaeospora. RNAcentral describes it as "SSU rRNA". It matches the Rfam family "Eukaryotic small subunit ribosomal RNA", at positions 569 to 1091 of the family's 1831-position model. RNAcentral also lists the same sequence under 1 other name. The record is from RNAcentral. Lineage: Eukaryota; Fungi; Glomeromycota; Glomeromycetes; Archaeosporales; Archaeosporaceae.